CCGAGUCCGGGCUCCCUCAAGCCCCUACUCCCACCCGUGUCUACCUUUACCGUGUUGCUUUGGCGGGCCCACCGGAGGCCGCGAAUCUGGUCGCCGGGGGGCUACGCCCCCGGGCCCGUGCCCGCCGAAGCGCCCCUGAACCCUGUGUGAAUAGUGAGUCUGAGUGUCUAUUGAAUCGUUA
Molecule: unclassified non-coding RNA, 181 nt
Filed under: soil metagenome
Description: partial internal transcribed spacer 1
Source: RNAcentral